This is a long non-coding RNA of Lemur catta (Ring-tailed lemur), 750 nucleotides long. RefSeq lists it as uncharacterized. NCBI's taxonomy places the organism in Eukaryota, Metazoa, Chordata, Mammalia, Primates, Lemuridae. The transcript is spliced from 3 exons. The record is from RefSeq and is a predicted model, not a curated record.
UGGGUUGGCAGGAACCACCUUGCCCAGGGACCCGCCCUCUCCCGCCUGCCAGAUUCCAGGCUGCCUCCUUGGAUGGAGCUGGGGAAACCUGCCAAAUUCUCGCUCCAACCUUCCGACAUUCAUUUACUCAGUAAACAUUUAUAGAUGCCCGCUGGGGACUCUGGUGGCACUGGAAACAAAGUUCCACUGUGGGCUUUAAAGGAGGAAACAAAAGACUAGUUGUACAAUCUCAGAAAAAUAUGAUAACUGCACCAGCGCAUCCCUAUAGCUGCAACCCACUCUGCAGCCUUGGAAACGACAUCACACCACUGCCUGUUCCUGUUGGAAAACCUGCCCCCGGCUUCCUGGCAGUUUUAGGAAAAACUUCUCACCUCUCACCUGGUCUACAAGGUGGUCUUGUCAGAGGAUGUCAGCUCUCCGAGUGCAAAAGAUCUGUCUUGUUCACUGCUGGGUCCCUGGCUCCUAAAACAGAAUCUAACACAUAGUAGAUGCUUAAUAAGUCACUGCAGGAUGACUGGACGAAGAAACCAAGCAUCACAGGGUACGGCUGGAGUUUUUGGUGCCCAGAAGCCUGGGAUGAGGAGACAGGCUCCAAAUGCCACAGAUGGUCCCGUGGAAGACCCCCGCAGACCGCGGAUUGAUGGCGCCUCUGAAAGCUCUGGGUGCAGCGUUCAGCGCAGAAGCCUCGCUUCCAGAGGGUGGGGCAUUUAAUCCAAUUAUUGGGGAUGGGGGGGGGAAGAAAAAAAUGGU